UACAGAGGGGGCAAGCGUUAUUCGGAAUUAUUGGGCGUAAAGGGCGCGUAGGCGGCCUGGCAAGUGGAAGGUGAAAUCCCUCGGCUUAACCGAGGAACUGCCCUCCAAACUGCUUGGCUUGAGUCCGGGAGAGGUGAGUGGAAUUCCCAGUGUAGCGGUGGAAUGCGCAGAUAUCAGGAGGAACACCGAUGGCGAAGGCAGGUCACUGGGCCGCAACUGACGCUGAGGAGCGAAAGCAUGGGGAGCGAACAGG
Molecule: ribosomal RNA, 253 nt
Filed under: uncultured bacterium
Lineage: Bacteria
Description: partial 16S ribosomal RNA
Rfam family: Bacterial small subunit ribosomal RNA
Source: RNAcentral